GACGAACGCUGGCGGCGUGCCUAAUACAUGCAAGUCGAACGCAGUGGGGACGGGUGAGUAACACCUGGGUAACCUCCCAUCAGAGGGGAUAACACUUGGAAACAGGUGCUAAACCGAUAUUGAUGUAUGGACCCGCGGUGCAUUAGCUAGUGGGUGAGGUAACGGCUCACCAAGGCCACGAGGCAUAGCUGACCUGAGAGGAUGAUCGGCCACACUGGAACUGAGACACGGCCCAGACUCCUACGGGAGGCAGCAGUAGGGAAUCUUCGGCAAUGGACGCAAGUCUGACCGAGCAACGCCGCGUGAGUGAAGAAGGUUUUCGGAUCGUAAAACUCUGUUGUUAGAGAAGCGGUAUCUAACCAGAAAGCACCGGCUAACUACGUGCCAGCAGCCGCGGUAAUAC
Molecule: ribosomal RNA, 403 nt
Filed under: uncultured bacterium
Lineage: Bacteria
Description: partial 16S ribosomal RNA
Rfam family: Bacterial small subunit ribosomal RNA
Source: RNAcentral